GAGGGACUAAAGCUGCCACGCGAGUUUAGCCGAGGUUGGGGAGCUGAGUUUCUGUCCCGAUGAUUCAGGCUCCCUUCCGACCCCCAAUGCAGGAGCUGUAGGUCUGAACUCAAGAAGAUGGGUGGACUGAGAAAGCGAGUGGAACCCCUGCGUCCUUUCCCCAGCCGAAAGAAACAGAGACAGGGAUUCAUCCGGCUCGUUGUCUGAAGGGGCCAAGGACCUACCUGGGUGAUCCGCGCUGUGCCCUCUUAAGACUCAGGCGGACCAAAGAGAGUGCCCGAGGCCAGGAGGAAGAAGGCUUUAGCACCUCCCCUGACUUCAUCCUGGCCCUGAGCCACAGGAUCUCCAGCCCUAAUUUCUCAGCUCAGCCUCAAGCUUCCAUAGAACCCCUCCACCUCUUCCCUCGGCCUGUUCUCCAGAAUGACUGGAAUUUAAGCAGCUUGGAGUGAUAACUACAUAUGGUGAUCACAAGUUCCGAAAUGGUAAUUCUAUGUGCCUGAUUAAUAAAAUUAAAACUAUUAAUGCAGUG
Long non-coding RNA from Sapajus apella (tufted capuchin), 529 nucleotides. RefSeq lists it as uncharacterized. Lineage: Eukaryota; Metazoa; Chordata; Mammalia; Primates; Cebidae. The transcript is spliced from 2 exons. The record is from RefSeq and is a predicted model, not a curated record.